Molecule: ribosomal RNA, 927 nt
Filed under: Triticum aestivum (bread wheat)
Lineage: Eukaryota; Viridiplantae; Streptophyta; Magnoliopsida; Poales; Poaceae
Description: partial small subunit ribosomal RNA
Source: RNAcentral
AUGCAAUAUGGACGUAUCAGGCGGCUGCUCAACAGAACGGGAUGGUUGAUUUAUGCCAAUUCAGUGGUCACGGCUACGGCCACAUAUUUUUUGACAUCCUUUCCACCGGACAAAUGGCUGAUUAAGAAGGUGGACAAGCUCAGACAGAACUUCCUUUGGGAGGCGGAUGACACGACGAUUGGCGGGAAGACUCAGGUAAACUGGAAGCACGUUUGCUCUCCAAAGAGGUAUGGAGGAUUGGGCAUAAAAAAUAUCGAAUGUUUCAGCCAAGCAUUGAGAUUGCACUGGGAAUCGUACAUAUGGGAGGAUGGAGAUAGGACGUGGAAAGGGACUGCUACGCCAUGCGAUGACACUUAUAAACAACUGUUCUCCAGUUGCACAACGAUCUCAUUGGGCGAUGGAAGUAUGGCAAGCUUCUGGAUGGAUAGGUGGCUGAGUGGCGAAGCACCAAUGGUUUUGGCACCUGCGGUUUUCAAGUUGGCCCGUUCUAAAAAAGUAUCGGUCAAAGAAGGAACUAAUGGUAAAUGGAUGCAAGGGCUUAACCGGAUGAACAAUGCCGAGCAGCUGACUCGGUUUGCAGAGCUUUGGAAUAGGGUGCAAAUGAUAACUUUGUCGCAGGAGAAGGACACGAUUGUUUGGAACCUUACAGCCAACGGUGUAUAUUCGGCCUGCUCGGCCUAUGAGGCUCAGUUUGGUAGGAUCGAGAAGCCACGGUUGGCUAGAGUGUGGAGGAGCAAGAUGGAGGGGAAAGUGAGGUUUUUCUUAUGGUUAAUGCUUCAGAACAAAAAUUGGACUGCCGACCGCUUGCAGGCAAGAGGCUGCCCACAUAAUGAUCUCUACAAGCUAUGUGACCAAGAGCCUGAAACUACGAAUCACCUUGCUCUGCAUUGCUCACUUUCCAAGGAGAUUUGGUUUCAGUUCGGAUAG